UGGGGAAUUUUGGACAAUGGGCGCAAGCCUGAUCCAGCCAUGCCGCGUGCGGGAAGAAGGCCUUCGGGUUGUAAACCGCUUUUGGCAGGGAAGAAAUCUUCUGAGUUAAUACCUCGGGAGGAUGACGGUACCUGAAGAAUAAGCACCGGCUAACUACGUGCCAGCAGCCGCGGUAAUACGUAGGGUGCAAGCGUUAAUCGGAAUUACUGGGCGUAAAGCGUGCGCAGGCGGUUUUGUAAGACAGAGGUGAAAUCCCCGGGCUCAACCUGGGAACUGCCUUUGUGACUGCAAGGCUUGAGUGCGGCAGAGGGGGAUGGAAUUCCGCGUGUAGCAGAGAAUGCGUAGAUAUGCGGAGGAACACCGAUGGCGAAGGCAAUCCCCUGGGCCUGCACUGACGCUCAUGCACGAAAGCGUGGGGAGCAAACAGGAUUAGAUACCCUGGUAGUCCACGCCCUAAACGAUGUCAACUGGUUGUUGGGAAGGUUCCUUCUCAGUAACGUAGCUAACGCGUGAAGUUGACCGCCUGAGGAGUACGGCCGCAAGGUUGAAACUCAAAAGGAAUUGAC
RNAcentral lists this ribosomal RNA (566 nucleotides) under uncultured bacterium. RNAcentral's name for it is "partial 16S ribosomal RNA". It matches the Rfam family "Bacterial small subunit ribosomal RNA", at positions 355 to 914 of the family's 1533-position model. The record is from RNAcentral.